Non-coding RNA from Carassius gibelio (silver crucian carp), 516 nucleotides. The record is from the annotation of a RefSeq genome assembly. NCBI's taxonomy places the organism in Eukaryota, Metazoa, Chordata, Actinopteri, Cypriniformes, Cyprinidae.
AUGGGAUCUCUCCUCAACCACCAGCAGUGUGCUGCAUCCACCUGGAGUACAGAGUACAACGGCACCAGCACGCUCACCACGCACCAGCUAAAGCUAGAGUUUGAAUCAGUUCAAAGGUUGAGCCUCACUCUCCCAUCAAAACUCAACAUGACUAUUGCUAUUAUUACAUUGAUUCUGCUGCUGCACUGCAGUCUAGCUGCUGUGGGUGGAGAUGGUGUUUUUCAAGAGCCUAAAAUUCUCUGGGAACCAAAGAACGGUUCUGCUUCUUUGAACUGCAAUCACAAUAAGGACAGUUCAUACUACCAGAUGUACUGGUACCGACAGCGUCCAGGAGAGACUAUGAGGCUCAUUGUACUCACUGUGGCUAACAGUAAACCAGACUUUGGAGAUGUUGACGAUGAGAAGAAAUUUGAAGCUCACAAAAGUGUUGCUGUAAGUGGAUCGUUGAAAGUGAAAGAUCUAGAGCCAGGCGACAGUGGCAUAUAUUUCUGUGCCGUGAGUCAACACAGAGUUUGA